Molecule: ribosomal RNA, 468 nt
Filed under: uncultured bacterium
Lineage: Bacteria
Description: partial 16S ribosomal RNA
Rfam family: Bacterial small subunit ribosomal RNA
Source: RNAcentral
GACGAACGCUGGCGGCGUGCUUAACACAUGCAAGUCGAACGGAAAGGCCCUGCUUUUGUGGGGUGCUCGAGUGGCGAACGGGUGAGUAACACGUGAGUAACCUGCCCUUGACUUUGGGAUAACUUCAGGAAACUGGGGCUAAUACCGGAUAGGAGCUCCUGCUGCAUGGUGGGGGUUGGAAAGUUUCGGCGGUUGGGGAUGGACUCGCGGCUUAUCAGCUUGUUGGUGGGGUAGUGGCUUACCAAGGCUUUGACGGGUAGCCGGCCUGAGAGGGUGACCGGCCACAUUGGGACUGCGAUACGGACCAGACUCCUACGGGAGGCAGCAGUGGGGAAUAUUGCACAAUGGGCGGAAGCCUGAUGCAGCAACGCCGCGUGCGGGAUGACGGCCUUCGGGUUGUGAACCGCUUUCGCCUGUGACGGAGCGUGAGUGACGGUAAUGGGUAAAGAAGCACCGGCUAACUACGUG